AGUGAACGCUGGCGGUAGGCCUAACACAUGCAAGUCGAACGGCAGCACAGUAAGAGCUUGCUCUUACGGGUGGCGAGUGGCGGACGGGUGAGGAAUACAUCGGAAUCUACUUUUUCGUGGGGGAUAACGUAGGGAAACUUACGCUAAUACCGCAUACGACCUACGGGUGAAAGCAGGGGAUCUUCGGACCUUGCGCGAUUGAAUGAGCCGAUGUCGGAUUAGCUAGUUGGCGGGGUAAAGGCCCACCAAGGCGACGAUCCGUAGCUGGUCUGAGCGGAUGAUCAGCCAAACUGGAACUGAGACACGGUCCAGACUCCUACGGGAGGCAGCAGUGGGGAAUAUUGGACAAUGGGCGCAAGCCUGAUCCAGCCAUACCGCGUGGGUGAAGAAGGCCUUCGGGUUGUAAAGCCCUUUUGUUGGGAAAGAAAAGCAGCAGGUUAAUACCCCGCUGUUCUGACGGUACCCAAAGAAUAAGCACCGGCUAACUUCGUG
This 492-nucleotide ribosomal RNA is filed under the name uncultured bacterium. RNAcentral's name for it is "partial 16S ribosomal RNA". It matches the Rfam family "Bacterial small subunit ribosomal RNA", at positions 29 to 507 of the family's 1533-position model. The record is from RNAcentral.